AUUGAACGCUGGCGGCAUGCCUAACACAUGCAAGUCGAACGGUUUAUGGAGCUUGCUUCAUAGAUAGUGGCGGACGGGUGAGUAAUAUGUAGGAAUCUGCCUUGAGGAGGGGGAUAACUUGGGGAAACUCAAGCUAAUACCGCGUAAGUCGGAGACGAGAAAGCAGGGGACCGAAGGGCCUUGCGCCUUAAGAUGAGCCUACAUCGGAUUAGCUAGUUGGUGGGGUAAAGGCCUACCAAGGCGAUGAUCCGUGGCUGGUCUGAGAGGAUGACCAGCCACACUGGGACUGAGACACGGCGCAGACUCCUACGGGAGGCAGCAGUGGGGAAUAUUGGACAAUGGGCGAAAGCCUGAUCCAGCGAUGCCGCGUGAGUGAUGAAGGCCUUAGGGUUGUAAAGCUCUUUUACCAGGGAUGAUAAUGACAGUACCUGGAGAAUAAGCUCCGGCUAACUCCGUGCCAGCCGCCGCGGUAA
This 473-nucleotide ribosomal RNA is filed under the name uncultured bacterium. RNAcentral's name for it is "partial 16S ribosomal RNA". It matches the Rfam family "Bacterial small subunit ribosomal RNA", at positions 30 to 523 of the family's 1533-position model. The record is from RNAcentral.